This 414-nucleotide ribosomal RNA is filed under the name Desmodesmus communis. Its description in RNAcentral is "SSU rRNA". It matches the Rfam family "Eukaryotic small subunit ribosomal RNA", at positions 604 to 1025 of the family's 1831-position model. Lineage: Eukaryota; Viridiplantae; Chlorophyta; Chlorophyceae; Sphaeropleales; Scenedesmaceae. The record is from RNAcentral.
UUUAAGUUGUUGCAGUUAAAAAGCUCGUAGUUGGAUUUCGGGUGGGUUUUAGCGGUCCGCCUAUGGUGAGUACUGCUAUGGCCUUCCUUACUGUCGGGGACCUGCUUCUGGGCUUCACUGUCCGGGACAGGGAUUCGGCAUGGUUACUUUGAGUAAAUUAGAGUGUUCAAAGCAGGCUUACGCCGUGAAUACUUUAGCAUGGAAUAACAUAAUAGGACUCUGCCCUAUUUUGUUGGCCUGUAGGAGUGGAGUAAUGAUUAAGAGGAACAGUCGGGGGCAUUCGUAUUUCAUUGUCAGAGGUGAAAUUCUUGGAUUUAUGAAAGACGAACUACUGCGAAAGCAUUUGCCAAGGAUGUUUUCAUUAAUCAAGAACGAAAGUUGGGGGCUCGAAGACGAUUAGAUACCAUCGUAGUC